This 254-nucleotide ribosomal RNA is filed under the name uncultured bacterium. Its description in RNAcentral is "partial 16S ribosomal RNA". It matches the Rfam family "Bacterial small subunit ribosomal RNA", at positions 524 to 776 of the family's 1533-position model. The record is from RNAcentral.
UACGGAGGGUGCGAGCGUUGUCCGGAAUUACUGGGCGUAAAGCGCACGUAGGCGGAUAUUUAAGUCAGGGGUGAAAUCCCAGAGCUCAACUCCGGAACUGCCAUUGAAACUGUUGGACUUGAGUACGAGAGAGGUGAGUGGAAUUCCCAGUGUAGAGGUGAAAUUCGUAGAUAUUGGGAAGAACACCGGUGGCGAAGGCGGCUCACUGGCUCGUAACUGACGCUCAGGCGCGACAGCGUGGGGAUCGAAACAGG